Long non-coding RNA from Taeniopygia guttata (zebra finch), 819 nucleotides. RefSeq lists it as uncharacterized. The record is from RefSeq and is a predicted model, not a curated record. NCBI's taxonomy places the organism in Eukaryota, Metazoa, Chordata, Aves, Passeriformes, Estrildidae.
GCCGCCAGGGCCCCGAGCCCGGGGGCUGCGGAGGGGAGCGCGCCCGGGGCUCACCUUGGCCUGGAAGUGGAUGCCGUGCUGAAAGGCCUCCUCGUUGUGCAGCGGGACGCGGGAGUCGCAGCCAUCGUCCACCAGGUUUUCUCGGGGACAAGGCACUGCCAAGCCCAGGUUGGCAGUACAGUUCCUCAGUGUGAGCUGCUGGGAUCAGCAUGCUGUCACGGUGGAAAACUGUUCAGUUUGCUGCAUCUGUAAAACUGCUUUAUUCCUGGAUUCCUCCUUGGACCUGGCACUUUCCUGUGCACACACAGACUCAGAGAUUUGGAACAAGAUCAUCUUUAAGGUUCCUCCCAACCCAAACAUUUCUGUGAUCUGGUGGUGGUGGUGAAACGAAAGCUGUGCCUUCAGUGAUGGACAUGGAAAAGACACCACCCAGUCAGCUCAUCCUGCCAACAUUACCAGCCCCUCCGAGCUCCUGCUGGAACAUGGAAACGCUCCCGGGUUUUUAAUUAAACACUGUCACAGAUAUAAAAAAAGAAUGUACAUCUUUUAAUAGCAACAUGAGAGCAGCCAAGAGCGAGCUACCUGGCCUUAGCCUUCCUGGUCACUUCACGUUGCAAGACACAGCUCUAUUUAAUUAAUUCAUUCGUUUCUUCGUUGCCUGCAAGGGUAAAUGAUGGAAGACUGGUGAGGCACUGAAAAAAUAAGCAUCUUGACACGACCUUGUUAUUUUAUCUCGCAGCUAACUGGCAGUGCCAACUUUUCCUGCAUUUAUUUAAAUUAUGCUGUAGUUUAAAUAAUUUCUGCUGAUAGCCUGCUUCA